GUCUCUAAAAUAAUCCAGUAUCAGUGAAGAUCAUUCCUGACUCCAACUGACCUCCAGGACCAGCACAGGGUGAUAAUUCGGAUCUGUUUAAAGACCUGGAUUCAGGUUAAUCUUUAGUGUAGUAAUUACUGGCUCUGGUGAAUGUUUGGAGAUGGGCCAGGAAACAGUCAAAACCAAAACAGGAUACUGCGAGUCUUCCAGGAACAGUUAUCAUUUGGCUACAGAGGGACACGAAGGGUGACGUCCAACCUUCAACUUACAGUGAAUGGAUUUUAGACCAAUCGCUGACCAGGAGAGAUAUGGGAGGUUUGUGUAUUUCAUAUUACAAGCCACAAGCUGUCCUCCUUUGUGAACAAGUUUAACAUGCUUCUGUAUUGUCAGAGAUUUAGUGCUGCUGCAUUCUUCAUUAAAGUGUUUCUCUUUUGAGAGUUGCAGAUCUGGAUGGAUUCCAAGUAAAACAACAUUAACAAACAGAACAUGAGGUUGAGAAACAGGACAUCGCAUGAAAUACCUCUACAGGACUUUUGGAGCAGGACUUGUGUAAGAGCUGAUAAUGGAAACAACCAAGGGCCAAGAGAUUAAAGGAUUAGGAACUGGACACCAGGCAAUGUGAUCGUUACACAGCGGCGGGUGAAGAUCAGUCUCAGUUCCUUGCAAGUUUUGAUGAAAAGUCUCCGCUGUGGUGCCAUGGUCCUCCUUCCUGAUAUGAGCUGUGGAGGUCAGUGCCAAUAAACUACAGCUGAGAUGUGUACUGUAUGCUGUGUUGCAAAUAAUAUAAGGGGAGAUUAUUUGUACUGUAUAUAUUUAUGCUUUAUGGCUGUAUAUGCUGUAAAAAUCAGAAUUCUACUUUGCUGAAGCUCUCAUAAAGAUAGAGAAUAGUGCAGCUCAUAAUGAAAAAUCAU
This is a long non-coding RNA of Cyprinus carpio (common carp), 902 nucleotides long. RefSeq lists it as uncharacterized. The record is from RefSeq and is a predicted model, not a curated record. The transcript is spliced from 3 exons. Lineage: Eukaryota; Metazoa; Chordata; Actinopteri; Cypriniformes; Cyprinidae.